GAGAUAUAUGAUGAUUGAACUUUUCUGGUUCCCUAUUGGUUUGAUUAGCCGAGAUGAUGAUGGCAUCUAACGUAUUAGCUCUAUCUGAUCUC
Molecule: small nucleolar RNA, 92 nt
Filed under: Brassica carinata (Ethiopian mustard)
Lineage: Eukaryota; Viridiplantae; Streptophyta; Magnoliopsida; Brassicales; Brassicaceae
Also listed under: 1 other name
Description: Small nucleolar RNA Z102/R77
Rfam family: Small nucleolar RNA Z102/R77
About the family: Z102 and R77 and are members of the C/D class of snoRNA which contain the C (UGAUGA) and D (CUGA) box motifs. Most of the members of the box C/D family function in directing site-specific 2'-O-methylation of substrate RNAs.
Source: Rfam by way of RNAcentral